GCAGCGCCUGUGGGGCUGCGCGGAAGUCCGUUUUCCUCACCUGCCUCGGACCUCCGCUUUCUCGUUCUGCCUCACCUCCCCCUCUCUUCGCCGCCGUUUCGGCUGCCGCCACGAUGAAUGGCACUCGGCGGUUCUCGGCGGCACCGGUGAACUUCGACCGCUUCAUCGCGCUCACCCGCUCGUACUCUCGCAGUUUGUCUCCUGACAGAGAGCUUGAUCAAAUGCUGCGGCCGUUCCAGGGCCGGGCAACGGCAUCGACGAGCGCUGCCACUCGCGAGUCUACAGCCAGUAGAGUGGCGACUCCGCAAGCGCGCCAUCAGCAGAUGCGCAAGGGUGAGCUCAUCUACAAGGAGUUUGUUUCGACGGAGGCGCGAGACGGGAAGCCGUACUGCGGGACCGCCCAGUCCGUUUCCAUGACGCAGAGCAUGACGGCGGCCAAUACAGUUUCCUCCGCUCGUGCCGCCACAUCAACGCCGCGCAGUGUCUCCGGCGGCGCCGCCGCGUCGACCUCUGCUGUUUCGACAGGCUUCUCUUACCUCGUCCUCGACGGCUGCUCGUUUGGGGAGGAGACACAGGAGCUGAGGCCGGGCUCGUACUCUGCAGACGAAGUGGACCCCCUCCUUCAAGCGGCCAUGCAGCUGGGCAGCCCCCUCUACGACCCUGUCAAGCGGCAGUUUGUGUGCUGGCAGCUACACGUUCUCGAGAAGCGUCCACGCGCUGCCUACGGCGAUGUGGAAGGCGUCAGUUGCGACUUCUGCGGCCACACCGAUUGGCUCGAUGGAUUGGCCGAGCGAGCGACGACCUCUCCUUCAGCGAGCGGAACGGUGGUGAAUGAUGAAGGGAAAAAGGAUGCCACGGCGCCCUCAGCAGCAGCAUCUUUCACUGCGCACGCGCGCUUUUUCUACAACUGCUCCGCCUGCCAGGUGGACAUAUGUCAGGCGUGCUUGGAGGAGGUGCGGUCUGAUGAGCGUCUUCACGUGCCAUGCUUUCAGUGUCAGCGCUGCGGAGGCUACGAAACGCGCCAGAAUGCGCCGUUGCAUCGGUGUGCGGAGUUGACCCUGAUCUCAGACGACGACGAAAGGCGCACAGGGGUGCAGGCGUUGCUGACAUCGCCGAGCAGAAACGCGGAUGCUUCACAGGCACUGCCGGCGGCACCCGCGACGACGUCUCCAAAGUGCAGGGGCGUGCCGGCCGGAAGGCCCGUGCGUCUCGGCCUCUGCCGACGAUACCAGCAAGCGGCGAAAGGGGUGGCGGCGCGAGACACAGAGAUCGCUGCCCAUGCCGGGAAGAUCGCCAACUCGGCUCCUCACCGAAAACGCAAGCGAGCUUCUCCGGAAAGAGUCCCCGUGGCAAAGCAGCGACCCGAGAAGACGACCAACGACACCGCAGAGGUGUUUCUUGUCCGUGACGUCACCGACAAGUCAUGCCGGAAAGUGAAGCCAGCGUCUGCGAGCGCUCUGCCGAAACCUGCGCCAGCAAAGCAGGAAGGGGACGACGGAGACGGCGACGCGUCACGAGCCCUUAUGGAGGCUGCAAUUCUCCCCUUCGCGGGAUACGAAGUGCACCUCACCCCUCGCACCGCGGAGGAGGUGGGCGAAGUGGACCGUAUCGCCAGGGAACAGCACCUCGUAUGCUCACCGCUACCGUCGCUGGCGAAGACAUGUGUGUUCAACUUCGCCACGCGCCUCGCUGCCGAGACUUGCGUCGAUCGCGCCACUGCGGCAUCGCUGGACGCCAUCCUGAAGCGGAGGGUGAAACCUGUGUGCCGCACGUGACCUACUUUUUCAGCUCCCUGUUCGACCCUUGUCUAGGUGCCGUGCCGGGCGCACGUGGCGGUGUACUCGGGUGUCGGCGAAAGGUGUGCACCGGUACGUAAGCGUGAGCUUCCAUUUUUUUUUCGCUCGCUGUUGUGUGCCGCCGUCGCGGCUCAUUUGAGCUGGUGAACGGACGCGGUCUCGCGCAUGGUGCAGUGGCGUCGUUUGGCUGUGCUAGUGGGUAUACGCGCCGUCUACGCGCAGGCGAUCGAGAGGAGAAAGGGAACGUGCAUAUCAAGGAAUGAUGUCGCCGCGCUGUGGUUGGCUGUUCGCAAGCCUAGGCCAUCGCUGAUAGCGGCUAUGGAGGGGUCAGAUGGUCACUACGUGGAGCUUAAGUGUGUUUCUGGGAGUGGAGAUGGAGGCGCCACUUCUGAUAAUGCUCGCCUUGGAAACAGAGAGGUGCAUCGGUGAUCCUGCGCAGUUCGCUCUAGAGCGGAUGCCCACUGCCGUUUGUACCCGAAUGCCCUCCCUCUCUUUGCCCCCUUCAGCUGCUCUCAUCUCUCCUCAUUUUUCUGCCUGUGCCUCUCGCGGUAUCCCUCUCUCACUGCCUCUAUCUGGAACUGAGGGUGUGCUGACGCCGCAACGCUUGUCUCAUGUCUGUGUGUGCGUGUGUGCCCGCAUUUGACGUUUUCUCUUUUCAUUUUCUCAAG
Molecule: unclassified non-coding RNA, 2464 nt
Filed under: Leishmania donovani
Lineage: Eukaryota; Euglenozoa; Kinetoplastea; Trypanosomatida; Trypanosomatidae
Description: gene:LdHU3.34.5800(CDS-product:hypothetical_prote in_conserved)
Source: RNAcentral